CAGCAGGCCCUUCAGAUACUGGAAGGCGCUAUAAUGUCUCCCUGGACCCUUCUCUUCUCCAGGCUGAACAACCCCAACUCUCUCAGCCUGUCUUCAUGGGAGAGGUGCUCCAUCCCUCUGACCAUCUUCACUUCAUCAGAUUUCUCUUGCUGUUCUGGAAAGCUUUAGAAAACACAGUGAAAAUAUUUACAUUCAUCACUGGUGACACCUUUCUCAGACAAAUUCAGGAACAUAAAAUGGUGGGCCUGAAAAAAAAGGGGUGAAGCGAAUCAGACAGAAGACGCUGGAAGAAGACAUUUACACUGCAGUGGGAGAGCCAGCCCCUUCACUCACAACACCAGGCCCCAGGAUGUAGCACCAUCAGCAACAACCAGAAGACAUGUCCAAGAACUUGUGACACCUUGGUGGGCCACCAGACAGCUUCAGGUGUUGCUGCUGCAUCAUCUCCAGCUACAACCAGAGAAUCAUGAAUGUGACGUGGAUACAACACUCUCAGUGUGCUGUGUGAAUCUACCCUACAAUCUCUUUAUACUACAGUGGCAUAAUUAAAGCGAAAAGUUGAACAAUG
Molecule: long non-coding RNA, 568 nt
Organism: Corapipo altera (White-ruffed manakin)
Lineage: Eukaryota; Metazoa; Chordata; Aves; Passeriformes; Pipridae
Exons: 2
Source: RefSeq, a predicted model, not a curated record